UACGGGGGGGGCAAGCGUUGUUCGGAAUUACUGGGCGUAAAGGGCUCGUAGGCGGCCAACUAAGUCGGAUGUGAAAUCCCCAGGCUUAACCUGGGAACUGCAUCCGAUACUGGAUGGCUUGAAUCCGGGAGAGGGAUGCAGAAUUCCAGGUGUAGCGGUGAAAUGCGUAGAUAUCUGGAGGAACACCGGUGGCGAAGGCGGCAUCCUGGACCGGCAUUGACGCUGAGACGCGAAAGCCAGGGGAGCAAACGGG
RNAcentral lists this ribosomal RNA (253 nucleotides) under uncultured bacterium. RNAcentral describes it as "partial 16S ribosomal RNA". It matches the Rfam family "Bacterial small subunit ribosomal RNA", at positions 524 to 776 of the family's 1533-position model. The record is from RNAcentral.